Molecule: RNase P RNA, 417 nt
Filed under: Actinomycetota bacterium
Lineage: Bacteria; Bacillati; Actinomycetota
Description: RNase P RNA component class A
Rfam family: Bacterial RNase P class A
About the family: Ribonuclease P (RNase P) is a ubiquitous endoribonuclease, found in archaea, bacteria and eukarya as well as chloroplasts and mitochondria. Its best characterised activity is the generation of mature 5'-ends of tRNAs by cleaving the 5'-leader elements of precursor-tRNAs.
Source: RNAcentral
GUGUCGGCCAGGCAGUCGCGGGCGCCGGAGAGAAAACCGGCGUUCGAGGAAAGUCCGGACACCGAAGGGCGGGGUGGUCGGGAGACCGACCCGGGGAAACCCGCGGGAAAGUGCCACAGAAACACACCGCCUAAGCGACGGGGCCUCACGAGGCUCGAAGCAGCCGGUUUCGGCCGGCUGAUCCGGGAGCGUUAUUCCCCGCCGCCGGCAAGGUUGAAAUGGUGCGGUAAGAGCGCACCGGCGGCGUGGCGACACGCCGGCCAGGCAAACCCCACCCGGUGCAAGGCCAAGCAGGGACGAUGACGCUGCCCGCCGAGUCCCAGGUAGGCCGCAGGGCUGUGAUGCCCGCCCCGUCUCGCCACGGGGGAGAUGGAUGACUGUCCUCGACAGGAUCCGGCUUACCGGCCGGCUACCGGA